GACGAACGCUGGCGGCGUGCUUAACACAUGCAAGUCGAACGGAAAGGCCCGGCUUUUGUGGGGUGCUCGAGUGGCGAACGGGUGAGUAACACGUGAGUAACCUGCCCGUGACUUUGGGAAAACUUCAGGAAACUGGGGCUAAUACCGGAUAGGAGCUCCGGCGGCAUGGUGGGGGUUGGAAAGUUUCUGCGGUUGGGGAUGGACUGGCGGGUUAUCAGCUUGUUGGUGGGGUAGUGGCUUACCAAGGCUUUGACGGGGAGCCGGCCUGAGAGGGUGACCGGGCCCAUUGGGACUAAGAUACGGCGCAGUGUCCUACUGGAGGCAGCAGUGGGGAAUAUUGCACAGUGGGCGGAAGCCUGAUGCAGCAGCGCCGCGUGCGGGAUGACGGCUUUCGGGUUGAAAACCGCUUUCGCCUGUGACGGAGGGUGAGUGACGGUAAUGGGUAAAGAAGCACCGGCUAACUACGUG
Molecule: ribosomal RNA, 468 nt
Filed under: uncultured bacterium
Lineage: Bacteria
Description: partial 16S ribosomal RNA
Rfam family: Bacterial small subunit ribosomal RNA
Source: RNAcentral